UUGGCCAUUUGUAUUUCUUCAUCUGAGAAGUGUCUGUUCUUUCCAGGUUAUCUUUUUAUCCUAUACUCUACUGAGAAAUAAUCCCUGGACAGAAAGCCAAGAGUAUCCUAAGGGGUUCCAUUGGAGAAGAAAAGAAUGUUUGAGUUUUAGCCAAGCUUAAACUCUGUAUUAGCCAAUGCUUACUAGGAUCCAAUUAAGGGCUCAGAGCCCAUGCAGUGUCCUGUGCAAGUCUACAUUGAGGAUCUGCACCAGGAAGGCCCAAAGGUCGGUGGUAGAAACUAGAAAGUCUGCACUGGCAGGGUGAAGGCUCUGUGCCAGAAGGCUGGGGAAUGUGCACUGGAGCCAGGAAGCAAUGCUCAAGGAGAAGACCAGUGCUCCCUCAAAGAGAACAAAAGCCAUUUCUGGACAGCAAGGGUCCGCGCUCCUCCGACCAGGAGAACAACUGAGUUUGUAUUAGGAAAACCAGCCUCGGCAAGCUUCUCCAGGAAAAUCAACAACAUGCAAUCUUCCCCUCUCCUUCUUUUAUGUCAUUUUGGCAAUAAUACU
Non-coding RNA from Heterocephalus glaber (naked mole-rat), 546 nucleotides. The record is from RefSeq and is a predicted model, not a curated record. Lineage: Eukaryota; Metazoa; Chordata; Mammalia; Rodentia; Bathyergidae.